GGGCAACAUAUUCUUCUAAUGUUUGUUUCUUCUUGGAAGUUUUUCUUGGUGUUUUUUAAUGUCUUAGUGUUUUAUUAGCAUUUCCUCUUGCCAAUGUUUUGCUGUGGAGUGCCGCCUGGGCUUACUAUGAAUGUUUUGGUAUGAGGCAAAGAGAAUUCAUAUUUCUGGAGGAUUUAUUCCCUUGGUAUGUGUUUUGGGCAAGACCCUGUCUCCAUGAAUAUGCCAAAGGCAAAAAUUCUCAUGGAUUCCUUUGAGGAGCAGGACUGAGCCUUGCUUUUGCACCCGUGGAGGAUUGCUGUGCCCCACAUGAGUCCUUGAGGGAGAGAGGGCUGGCUUGGACAAGAAUGGGUGGGACAGGGCUUGUGCGUGCCAUGUCCAGAGGACAGGGCUCUGCUGAGACACACAACAGACCUGACCUGCUCACAGCACUGAAAGGCUCAGCAUCACAGGCUUAACUCCCCACUUUUUGUGUAGUAAAUCAUCAAAACUUCUCAGAGCUCAUGGUCAGUAAUGCUGGCCUUGGCAGCAUUGAAUAAGUCUUGAGAAACAGUGAUGCUGAAUGAAAACAAUCAUGAGACUGAAAUAUGUACCUGCUUCUUUACAGCUGCUGCCUGGUUUGGGAGCCUAUGACAGCCUUCAGAUGUUAUCUCCAAGUUUUCCUUAGCAUGCAGGAAGGCUAGAAAACACUUUUUGUUAAUAAAACAUUACACAUUUUGCCUGAUCUCAAGACCUGGAGCGUGAGAAAUGGAUUGGCUCUUGAAACAGCUGGGGUAAAGCAUGAAGGGCUGCCAUGUUCUGAGGUCAGUUUGGCUUGGAGCUAAAGGACAAAUCCAUGGUGUACAUCAGCCCUGCCUUUCGAUGUGGUGCCAGUGUGUUGGGCUGCCAUUCAGGAGAACCGAGGUGGAAAUGGAAGCCAAACUACACGUGGCUCUUGGGUGUCUCUCUGUAUGAUAAACCAGGGGGGUGCACUGUGCCAUUUCUCAACAAUGCAUGCAUUUUCUUUCCAUUGAAAUGCUAUGGUUGGUGUUACAGUUUUCAAAUUAAAAACUGAAUGUGUUUGAAUAUUUUCCCACACAAACAUUUCUUUGACUUGCAAAAUUCUUUUCUGUUAAAAGUGUCAGAGUGGAUUUUUAACCCAUUCUAAGAAAUUUUCUGCUGUCAAAAAUGACUAAUAUCCUAAACUCUCUUAAGAGUUAUUUGUCCCCAUUUUCCUUGCUGAAAAACGAUGAUUUCUGGAAUUGUUUUUGUUUUGUUUUGUUUUCUUUUUUCUCCCUUUAGUAUUCUUCUAGCAUCUCCAUAGUUUUUUCUCACCCAUGUAUAGCACUAAACUUUGGAAAGAGUGAUUUUUCUGAACAUGGAAAGUAAAAGAAAUGGCACAGUAGUUCAGCUGGGAUUAAGAAGAGAUUUAAGCCAAGCCUGAUCUAUAGGGAGAACUUUUCUGGAACCAAAAUGCUCCUACAGGUUUUUUUUUUUGAGCUUAGUAUUUUUUGGAAGUUCAAUGUACACUUCUACAAGGACUUCCAAAUGUAUCUUGUUCACUAAUAAAUUCCAAAUAAUUAUUGCUGGCUUUUGGGCU
Molecule: long non-coding RNA, 1576 nt
Filed under: Parus major (Great Tit)
Lineage: Eukaryota; Metazoa; Chordata; Aves; Passeriformes; Paridae
Description: lncRNA (ENSPMJG00000009337.1)
Source: RNAcentral